Molecule: ribosomal RNA, 443 nt
Filed under: uncultured bacterium
Lineage: Bacteria
Description: partial 16S ribosomal RNA
Rfam family: Bacterial small subunit ribosomal RNA
Source: RNAcentral
CCUACGGGCGGCAGCAGUGGGGAAUAUUGGGCAAUGGGCGCAAGCCUGACCCAGCAACGCCGCGUGAAGGAAGAAGGCUUUCGGGUUGUAAACUUCUUUUCUGAGGGACGAAGAAAGUGACGGUACCUCAGGAAUAAGCCACGGCUAACUACGUGCCAGCAGCCGCGGUAAUACGUAGGUGGCAAGCGUUAUCCGGAUUUAUUGGGUGUAAAGGGCGUGUAGGCGGGAAAGCAAGUCAGAUGUGAAAACUCAGGGCUCAACCCGUGAACUGCAUUUGAAACUGUUUCCCUUGAGUGUCGGAGAGGUAAUCGGAAUUCCUUGUGUAGCGGUGAAAUGCGUAGAUAUAAGGAAGAACACCAGUGGCGAAGGCGGAUUACUGGACGAUAACUGACGGUGAGGCGCGAAAGCGUGGGGAGCAAACAGGAUUAGAUACCCGUGUAGUC